UGGGGAAUAUUGGACAAUGGGGCACCGUAGCAUCCAGCAAUGCCGCAGCUGUGUGAAGAAGGUUUUCGGAUUGUAAAGCACUUUCGACGGGGACGAUGAUGACGGUACCCGUAGAAGAAGCCCCGGCUAACUUCGUGCCAGCAGCCGCGGUAAUACGAAGGGGGCUAGCGUUGCUCGGAAUGACUGGGCGUAAAGGGCGUGUAGGCGGUUUGUACAGUCAGAUGUGAAAUCCCCGGGCUUAACCUGGGAGCUGCAUUUGAUACGUGCAGACUAGAGUGUGAGAGAGGGUUGUGGAAUUCCCAGUGUAGAGGUGAAAUUCGUAGAUAUUGGGAAGAACACCGGUGGCGAAGGCGGCAACCUGGCUCAUAACUGACGCUGAGGCGCGAAAGCGUGGGGAGCAAACA
Molecule: ribosomal RNA, 404 nt
Filed under: uncultured Acetobacter sp.
Lineage: Bacteria; Pseudomonadati; Pseudomonadota; Alphaproteobacteria; Acetobacterales; Acetobacteraceae
Description: bacterial SSU rRNA
Rfam family: Bacterial small subunit ribosomal RNA
Source: RNAcentral